GCCUUGGUAGCUCAAUUGGCUAGAGCGUGGGACUUUUACGAAAUCUGGAAAAAUAGAAUAUUCUUCUAGGUUCUGAGGAAUCCCAAGGUUGCGGGUUCGACCCCCGCCUGAGGCG
Non-coding RNA from Daldinia bambusicola, 115 nucleotides. NCBI's taxonomy places the organism in Eukaryota, Fungi, Ascomycota, Sordariomycetes, Xylariales, Hypoxylaceae. The record is from the annotation of a GenBank genome assembly.